GAUGAACGCUAGCGGCAGGCCUAAUACAUGCAAGUCGAACGGUGUCUUCGGACAUAGUGGCGCACGGGUGCGUAACACGUAUGCAACCUACCUUACAUUGGGAGAUAGCCUUUCGAAAGGGAGAUUAAUACCGCAUAAGACAGUAACUAGGCAUCUAGUAGCUGUUAAAGAUUUAUCGAUGUAAGCUGGGCAUGCGUCCAAUUAGCUAGUUGGUGAGGUAACGGCUCACCAAGGCAAUGAUUGGUAGGGGAACUGAGAGGUCAAUCCCCCACACUGGCACUGAGAUACGGGCCAGACUCCUACGGGAGGCAGCAGUAGGGAAUAUUGGGCAAUGGACGCAAGUCUGACCCAGCCAUGCCGCGUGCAGGAUGAAGGCGUUAUGCGUUGUAAACUGCUUUUAUACAGGAAGAAACGACUCUUGCGAGAGGCAUUGACGGUACUGUAUGAAUAAGCACCGGCUAACUCCGUG
RNAcentral lists this ribosomal RNA (469 nucleotides) under uncultured bacterium. RNAcentral's name for it is "bacterial SSU rRNA". It matches the Rfam family "Bacterial small subunit ribosomal RNA", at positions 28 to 507 of the family's 1533-position model. The record is from RNAcentral.